Molecule: ribosomal RNA, 253 nt
Filed under: uncultured bacterium
Lineage: Bacteria
Description: partial 16S ribosomal RNA
Rfam family: Bacterial small subunit ribosomal RNA
Source: RNAcentral
UACGAAGGGUGCAAACGUUAUUCGGAAUCACUGGGCGUAAAGGGUGCGUAGACGGUAUGUUAAGUUCGUUGUUAAAGGCUCCGGCCUAACUGGAGUACUGCGAUGAAAACUGGCGUGCUAGAGGGUGAAAGAGAGAAGUGGAAUUCCCGGAGUAGCGGUAAAAUGCGUGGAUCUCGGGAGGAACACCAAUGGCGAAGGCAGCUUCUUGGUUCAUACCUGACGUUGAGGCACGAAAGCGUGGGGAGCAAACAGG